This 1292-nucleotide long non-coding RNA is filed under the name Chinchilla lanigera (long-tailed chinchilla). RNAcentral describes it as "lncRNA (ENSCLAG00000022714.1)". Lineage: Eukaryota; Metazoa; Chordata; Mammalia; Rodentia; Chinchillidae. The record is from RNAcentral.
CCUUUGUGUACCUAUGUUAUAUAUUUUUAAAGAAUUAAGUGUUAUAAAUAGUAUUACUGCCAAUAUUUAAAAAUAAAAUAUGCAUAAGACAAACAUGAGAAAACAUAGAGGGAGAAACUUUUGGUUUGAUUAGUUUACAUAGUCAUGAGCAAUUUUUAUCUUGGAGAUCUGUCAUUUGAGCAUUUUUUCCCAAUAAUGUAACUUCUAAAUAAAUAUGAGAGAACAAGUACUAGGGAAGAUAAAUUAAUCCAGAAUGAGCAGAGGCCUGUAAAAUGUGAUAAAGAAAACACAAAGGAAUUUUUAAAGGUCUGCUCAGAGAAAAGAAAAAAAAAAAAGCCAAGGGUGAGGUCAGGGCUUGGGGGGAUUUUGAUGUAGUAACAUAACCAGGUGAAGGGGAGAAGGCAGACCCACUGAGCUUUUGUUUGGCUUCUGACUUCAGAAUAAUCUUCGCACUAAGAAGACACAUCACAAAAAUGGAACGAAAGCCAGUGCUGAAUGAACAAUCUGUACAAACAGGCCAGAGGAGUCAGCACAGUUUGUGAGAGGUCAGACAGCUGGAGCGGGGCCAGCGGGCCGAGGAUGAGGAGAUACACCACAGCUCCAUACACGGAGCGCCCAGCCAAGGGCCCUGAGCGAAGUACAAGCAAACUGUGGACCUUUCUGCAGAAAGCGCUGCUCCCUGGGAGCCUCCGGGGAGCCCGCAGGAAGCCUCAGCAAUUAGGAUUCAUUUUACACAUUCAGAGAUUCAGAGGACGGAACGUGUCGGGCAGAGUUCAGGUAUACCCUUAACUCUGUGGCCCUGACACAAGGUACCACAGAGCUGACCACCUGCUGGCCAUGUGUUCUGAGCCUCCUGAAGGCCCUGGAGGCAAGGUGAGUGACAGCUUCCUGUCCUGCAAAGUGUCUGGGUCAGAGGGUGGAACCAGAGCAAACAGAGCCAGCUGAUGGCUCGCCCGCCAUCUCUGCAAAGGAGGGAACGGGCUUUGAGUUUGCCAAGAGAGGGCUCACCCACUCCGAGGCUCCUGGAAGAACUGGGACAAACUGGUCACCUUUUUGUGGGACAGUUACACAAAUCCCACCGUGGGCUUUGAUGCUAUCCACACUUCACCCUGGGUAACUUGGCAGAUAGCUGGCUGGGCUCAUCGCUGUGACAAAAUACCAUCCACAAGAAGCAAUGCGCAGGAACCGCUGGAGCUCAGGGCUGUAAGAGGGGACUGCCGCAGGGUCACACCGGCUCGAAGUCUGGGGUGUUCUGGAGCUUGAUUCUUCUCAGGGCAGUAAGUGCGGUUGGG